Molecule: long non-coding RNA, 315 nt
Filed under: Vitis vinifera (wine grape)
Lineage: Eukaryota; Viridiplantae; Streptophyta; Magnoliopsida; Vitales; Vitaceae
Description: long non-coding RNA (VVIN_LNC003642)
Source: RNAcentral
UCAAAGCUUCCACCGGGGUAAAGGGGAUCGGUGACCUCCCCAAGUGGUCCUCCGGCAAUGCGGUAGCCCUCAACUGCGCCCAUCAGGAUCACCUGUGUGGCCCAAAUAGCCAAUAUGCUUUGUGCAUGCACCAAAUUAGGGUUUCCCAAGUAGUCCAGUCCACCCUCGCUGAAUAUCUGCGCACCAGCCUUGAACCACACUGCCUCCCCAAACUUGACCCCGUUGCGCGACAGAAGCUCCGGGAAGACGCAUCCGAGAGCUCCAAGCAUUGCCCACCUGCAGUGGAUGACCUCAAGCUCACGAUUCUUGGCGAAG